This 406-nucleotide ribosomal RNA is filed under the name uncultured bacterium. RNAcentral describes it as "partial 16S ribosomal RNA". It matches the Rfam family "Bacterial small subunit ribosomal RNA", at positions 30 to 526 of the family's 1533-position model. The record is from RNAcentral.
AUUGAACGCUGGCGGCAGGCCUAACACAUGCAAGUCGAACGAGUGGCGGACGGGUGAGUAAUGUCUGGGAAACUGCCCGAUGGAGGGGGAUAACUACUGGAAACGGUAGCUAAUACCGCAUACCAUCGGAUGUUCCCAGAUGGGAUUAGCUCGUGGGUGGGGUAACGGCUCACCUGGGCGACGAUCCCUAGCUGGUCUGAGAGGAUGACCAGCCACACUGGAACGGGGACACGGUCCAGACUCCUACGGGAGGCAGCAGUGGGGAAUAUUGCACAAUGGGCGCAAGCCUGAUGCAGCCAGGCCGCGUGUAUGAAGAAGGCCUUCGGGUGGUAAAGUACUUUCAGCGGGGAGGCGUUACCCGCAGAAGAAGCACCGGCUAACUCCGUGCCAGCAGCCGCGGUAAUUC